GAUGAACGCUGGCGGCGUGCCUAAUACAUGCAAGUCGAGCGAACGGACGAGAAGCUUGCUUCUCUGAUGUUAGCGGCGGACGGGUGAGUAACACGUGGAUAACCUACCUAUAAGACUGGGAUAACUUCGGGAAACCGGAGCUAAUACCGGAUAAUAUUUUGAACCGCAUGGUUCAAAAGUGAAAGACGGUCUUGCUGUCACUUAUAGAUGGAUCCGCGCUGCAUUAGCUAGUUGGUAAGGUAACGGCUUACCAAGGCAACGAUGCAUAGCCGACCUGAGAGGGUGAUCGGCCACCCUGGAACUGAGACACGGUCCAUACUCCUACGGGAGGCAGCAGUAGGGAAUCUUCCGCAAUGGGCGAAAGCCUGACGGAGCAACGCCGCGUGAGUGAUGAAGGUCUUCGGAUCGUAAAACUCUGUUAUUAGGGAAGAACAUAUGUGUAAGUAACUGUGCACAUCUUGACGGUACCUAAUCAGAAAGCCACGGCUAACUACGUG
RNAcentral lists this ribosomal RNA (497 nucleotides) under uncultured bacterium. Its description in RNAcentral is "partial 16S ribosomal RNA". It matches the Rfam family "Bacterial small subunit ribosomal RNA", at positions 28 to 507 of the family's 1533-position model. The record is from RNAcentral.